Molecule: ribosomal RNA, 574 nt
Filed under: Hanseniaspora opuntiae
Lineage: Eukaryota; Fungi; Ascomycota; Saccharomycetes; Saccharomycodales; Saccharomycodaceae
Description: partial large subunit ribosomal RNA
Rfam family: Eukaryotic large subunit ribosomal RNA
Source: RNAcentral
UUAGUACGGCGAGUGAAGCGGUAAAAGCUCAAAUUUGAAAUCUGGUACUUUCAGUGCCCGAGUUGUAAUUUGUAGAAUUUGUCUUUGAUUAGGUCCUUGUCUAUGUUCCUUGGAACAGGACGUCAUAGAGGGUGAGAAUCCCGUUUGGCGAGGAUACCUUUUCUCUGUAAGACUUUUUCGAAGAGUCGAGUUGUUUGGGAAUGCAGCUCAAAGUGGGUGGUAAAUUCCAUCUAAAGCUAAAUAUUGGCGAGAGACCGAUAGCGAACAAGUACAGUGAUGGAAAGAUGAAAAGAACUUUGAAAAGAGAGUGAAAAAGUACGUGAAAUUGUUGAAAGGGAAGGGCAUUUGAUCAGACAUGGUGUUUUUUGCAUGCACUCGCCUCUCGUGGGCUUGGGCCUCUCAAAAAUUUCACUGGGCCAACAUCAAUUCUGGCAGUAGGAUAAAUCAUUAAGAAUGUAGCUACCUCGGUAGUGUUAUAGCUUAUUGGAAUACUGCUAGCUGGGAUUGAGGACUGCGCUUCGGCAAGGAUGUUGGCAUAAUGGUUAAAUGCCGCCCGUCUUGAACCACGGACCAA